Molecule: non-coding RNA, 100 nt
Filed under: Pan paniscus (pygmy chimpanzee)
Lineage: Eukaryota; Metazoa; Chordata; Mammalia; Primates; Hominidae
Source: RNAcentral
GUGUUGUAUGAAAGGAGAGGUUAGCCCUCCCCUUAACAAAGACAGAAGAGGCCCUCAGGCCUAAUAACACAGAGUUCCUGGCAUCUCACUAUGUUUUUAU